UCAUCGCUUCAAGAAAGGGGCUCCUCCCCUUGUAAUUAUACUGGGUUUUGCAUCCAGACUGAGCUUCCUUCCCUCACCCAUAUGAAGUGUCUACCUUCUGCAGACUCCAGUGGCUCAGGAACCGGGGAUGCAGUGCCAGGCUCGUGGUGUCCUGCAGCAGAUGUGGGGAGCUUUCCUUCUUUACAUUUCCAUGAAGAUGGGAGUCACUACAGGACAAAACAUUGACCAGCCCACUGAGAUGACAGCUAUGGAAGGAGUCAUUGUCCAGAUCAACUGCACGUACCAGACGUCUGGGUUCAAUGGGCUGUCCUGGUACCAGCAACAUGAUGGCGAAGCACCCACACUUCUCUCUUACAAUGUUCUGGAUGGUUUGGAGGAGAAAGGUCGUUUUUCUUCAUUCCUUAGUAACUCGAAAAGGUACAGUUACCUCCUUUUGAAGGAGCUCCAGAUGAAAGACUCUGCCAACAAGCUGAUCUUCGGCACAGGAACCAUUCUGAGAGUCAAGCCUUAUAUCCAGAACCCUGACCCUGCCGUGUACCAGCUGAGAGGCUCUAAAUCCAAUGACACCUCUGUCUGCCUAUUUACUGAUUUUGAUUCUGUAAUGAAUGUGUCACAAAGCAAGGAUUCUGACGUGCAUAUCACAGACAAAACUGUGCUAGACAUGAGGUCUAUGGACUUUAAGAGCAACGGUGCUGUGGCCUGGAGCAACAAAUCCAAUUUUGCAUGUACAAGCGCCUUCAAGGACAGCGUUAUUCCAGCAGACACCUUCUUCCCCGGCACAGAAAGUGUCUGUGAUGCCAACCUGGUUGAGAAAAGCUUUGAAACAGAUAUGAACCUAAACUUUCAAAACCUGUCAGUGAUUGGGUUCCGAAUCCUCCUCCUGAAAGUGGCCGGGUUUAAUCUGCUCAUGACGCUGCGGCUGUGGUCCAGCUGAGGUCUGCAGGAUUGUAAGACAGCCUGUGCUCCCUCGUUCCUUCCUCUGCAUCGCCCCUCCUCUCCCUCUCCAAGCAGAGGGAGCUCUCCCACCCCCAUGGAGGAGAAAGCUGCUACCACCUCUGUGCCCCCCGGCAACGCCACCAACUGGAUCCUACCCAAAUUUGUGAUGAAGAUUGCCGAAGAGCUGCCAAACACCGCUGCCACCCCCUCUGUUCCCUUAUGGCUGCUUGUCACUGACUGACAUUCACGGCAGAGGCAAGGCUGCUGCAGCCGCCCCUGGCUGUGCACAUUCCCUCCCGCUCCCCAGAGACUGCCUCCACCACCCCACAGAUGAUGGAUCCUCAGUGAGUUCUCUUGGGCUCUAGGUCCUGGAGAAUGUUGUGAGGGGUUUAUAUUUUUUAAAUAGGGUUCAUAAAGAAAUACAUACUAUUCUUCUUCUCAAGACAUGGGGGGAAAUUAUCUCAUUAUUGAGGCCCUGCUAUGCUGUGUAUCUGGGUGUGUUGUAUAUCCUGCUGCCAAUGGCUUCAUUAAAAUGGUUUGGAAGAGCAGA
This is a non-coding RNA of Macaca mulatta (Rhesus monkey), 1486 nucleotides long. Lineage: Eukaryota; Metazoa; Chordata; Mammalia; Primates; Cercopithecidae. The record is from the annotation of a RefSeq genome assembly.